RNAcentral lists this long non-coding RNA (736 nucleotides) under Androctonus crassicauda. The record is from RNAcentral. Lineage: Eukaryota; Metazoa; Arthropoda; Arachnida; Scorpiones; Buthidae.
UGAAGGAGAAAGAUAUUUAAAUACAGUAAUAUUUUCUGUAAUGAAAUUUUAGUUAAUAAUUGCAAAUUUUAAAUUUGUAAAAAUCAAUUUUAAUAUGAAAUUUGUUGCAUACUAAGUUUUGAUGGAAAAUAAAGACCAAUAAUAUAUGGACUACUUGGAAAGCUACAAAUAAAAAUAUAGAAAUUCUCUUUUAUUAGAGAAAUUGUAUUAUAAACUUCACUACUGUAAAUUUACAUAAUAAUGAAUGGGCUAUAUUUAUUAAAAGAGAGGUACAUCUGGAUAUCAUUACCUGGAUUGCUAGUCAUUACCCAUUAUCCAGGAUGUUAUCAAUCUUGAUUAUGCAGUUAAUAAUCUCCUCUCUCACUUCUCAUAUAGCAGCUUUUAUAAAUGAGAGUUACUGCUAUAUUUCACUAGAUAAUUGUGCAUUUUGCACUACUGAUAUAAAAUUCACAAUGUGUUUUUAUUGGAUAAUAGAUAUCAGUUUGAGAGAAAAAGUUCUCCCUCCUUUAGUAACUGUAUUUUAUCAGUACAAAUUGGAAAAAAUAAAAUCUUUUUAUAUAUUUUCAAACUUUAUAUCAUAAUGUUUUCCUAUGAAGGGUAAUUAUGCUGUACCACCAAUAUAAAGCUAGUCUCUUGAAGAAAUAAACAUUGUUGAUUUGAAAUGUUUUGUGAUGAUUAAUACUCAUUCCCAAAAUGUACAUAAGAUCUUAAUGCAUGUUUCUUCCCUCAUUCUUAC